CGAGUCGUACCAUUCCGCCCCAUGAGGGGGGGUGUCUCAGCAAACACCGACCUGCGAAAAUGCCCUGCCACGUCGGAGACGUUCAAAAGAAAAAUUUAAUACACAUAAUCAGACAAUUUUACCAUCGCGGUGUCCUCCAAAUGUUGAUACUUCGCCAGGAUCGUCAUUCUGAAUUAUGACGUUUCUCCUCGCCCCUGCAGCUGCGGUUUUGAGGUACAGUUGAAAAUGGCUGUGAAGGAACAGUUGAGAUCUGUCGCGCUGUACAAGAAUUAAUAAUAAUGUCGCAUCCUCCAAAUUAACGAGGACUCGUCUCCGCCGCCCGGAGGACACGUCGGAAAGUGUGUGGGGACGGUACUUCUGCUCCCUGGCACCUUGGCAGUUCGGGGUUUGAACCAGCAACCUUCCGCUUCCUCACCCGCUAGACCACGGAAGCGGCCAGAUGUGUGCAGCGUGCAUCAGCACCACUGCUGCAUCAGCAUGUCCUGUGUUCCCACAGUACUACAAGUGUUCCAUCGAAAUAUUGGACAUGUGGAUCAGAGUGACUCGGCAAGGCUGUACAAUGGCCGGGUCAGUGCUGCAGAGGGAUUGUGGGUAAUUCAGGGGAGACCCUGCUUCAGGGUGCUACCGAAGUUAAAGGUCCCGGCAAAAUACUGUGUGUGUAUGUAUAUGUUUGCACCCAUGUCCUGGAAUAGCUUCUGUGAGGGUGCUAAAACCCGGUACUAAAUUUAGCCAAACAAGACCAGGCAGAGGGUUCUUGCUUCAAUUAAGGGACUUAAUAAUACACAAAAGGGACCCACACACACACACACACACACACACCCUCCAAAUUCAGCUGUUAAAACAGUUGGCCGGAAUGACUGUGCCUCUGGUUGAGUGGGCGGGGUCUCGAUGUUAUGGGGAUUUUAUUUUUUCCCCCGAGGUCGGGGCCUUAGUCACACCUGUCAGCCGUCCCACGCUGAUGACAUCACAGCAGUUGUGACUGUGGGUUAAUAGCGCUGCGCAGGGUGAGGGGCUGCAAUUACGCCGAACGUUACCAGAGUGAGAUGACACAGGGUUCUUUAUGUGUGUGUGUGUGUGUGUGUGUGUGUGAGUGAGUGAAAGAGAGAGAGAGAGAGAGAGAGAACCUGCUGACUCUUUUUAUGUAGAUUCUGUUGUGAGGAUGGUUGAGUGUUUUGCAGGAUGUGAGAUUAGUGCUGACACCUGCUGAGCAGACUCUUCCUCACACACACAUACACACACACACACUUGCAAACUCAUGGUACAGUAGCUGCAAAACAUGAAGUACAGGUGGUUGAAUUGUGUUGCUCCACCCUCAACAUCCUAACAAACCUGCACACACCGAAAGAAACUGUACAAUAUUGGACAUUGAUUUCAUACACACACACACGGCCCAGAGAAACCACAUCACUCACACACACCAACACACCCAAAACAGGAAGUAGUUUAUUUGCGCCCCCCCCCGCCCACUUCCAGCUCAUUUCACUCGGACUCUCCUGGAAGCCCUUCGCAAGAAGCCAGAGGCAUUAAGACCCAGCUGGCAUCCGAGCAGACACCAAACCGCCCCCUGCUGUCCCCAUCAGGAACCCCCGACAUGCAGCGUUCUGCAAGGGGAAGAUAUAAAAGAGAGAAGUCUGACAUGAUGGCCUUUAACUCCAGUGCUGUACAGGGGUGGAGUGAUCAGAGAGAGCCUGUUCUCGCUGACUGUGCAGCGCGCGUGUGUGUGUGUGUGUGUGUGCGCGCAUUGAUAAGUGUGAGGAGGGUCUAGGUGCUGAUGCCUGCUCAUGCGUGUGUGUAGGUAUUCUCUGAGAUGGGGGAGGUUGUGCGUGUGAGGUGGAGAGGGAGACAGUAGAGGUGUCAGGCCAGAUUAUCUGUGCUGUCUGCCUGUCUGCUCUGGGGUAAAAACACAGGACCACUUCUGCUGAGUCUGCACACACACACACACACACACACAGACUUUUCUUUUGCCCUCCUUCUCUCUCCGUACUCAUUCUAACAAGCUUGUUAAGAAAGGUUUAGGCAUGUCACAUGAAUAAUUCAAACACACACACACACACACACACUGAGAUCUUUAUUUAUGAAACUCGGGCCCCAGGAGAACGUUGCUUCACACACUCUGAAAUACAUAUAAUCUUUCUGGUCGACCGUGUUGUGUGGAGGAUCUGUUUCUUCUAAAAUAGUUUUUCUGCUCAUUCCAGGUGAAACAAGGGACGGGACGGACUGAGGAGAGGCUGGUAAGACAAAUACACACACACACUCUCUGUCUGUCUGUCUGUCUGCAGUUUUGGAGUGAGGGAUUGGGUGGGAGAGCCACCCAAUCCUCUCUCUUCCAUUCGUCCGCUCGUCAGUCCCUCCAUCCAUCCAUCCAUCCAUCCAUCCGUCCCUCAGCGUCCCCACCAACACGCUGCAUCCCAGAAAGCACUGGGCUUUUCACCUCUGACCCCUGAGGUCCACAAAGGUCCCAAGUGGCUUAGGACUUGUUUAUAUUUGGACCAAGGGUCUUCCGCUUAUUUCAUCAAUCUUUAUAGAUUUAUUAAGACUGAAGCUGGC
Denticeps clupeoides (denticle herring) is the source of this 2547-nucleotide long non-coding RNA. NCBI's taxonomy places the organism in Eukaryota, Metazoa, Chordata, Actinopteri, Clupeiformes, Denticipitidae. The record is from Ensembl.